Molecule: ribosomal RNA, 268 nt
Filed under: uncultured Glomeromycotina
Lineage: Eukaryota; Fungi; Glomeromycota
Description: partial small subunit ribosomal RNA
Rfam family: Eukaryotic small subunit ribosomal RNA
Source: RNAcentral
AGCAGCCGCGGUAAAUUCCAGCUCCAAUAGCGUAUAUUUAAGUUGUUGCAGUUAAAAAAGCUCGUAGUUGAAUUUGGGGCCCGGCGGAGCGGUCGCCCUUUCCGGGUUGUACUGCUUCCGGGCCUUUCCUUCUGGCGAACCAGCCAUGCUCUUGACUGAGUGUGCUGGGGAUCCAGGCUUUUACUUUGAAAAAAUUAGAGUGUUCAAAGCAGGCAAUCGCUUGGAUACAUUAGCAUGAAUAAUGGAAUAGGACAAUGGUUCUAUUUGU